Molecule: ribosomal RNA, 253 nt
Filed under: uncultured bacterium
Lineage: Bacteria
Description: partial 16S ribosomal RNA
Rfam family: Bacterial small subunit ribosomal RNA
Source: RNAcentral
UACGUAGGGAGCAAGCGUUGUCCGGAUUUACUGGGUGUAAAGGGUGCGUAGGCGGCCUUGCAAGUCAGAAGUGAAAUCCAUGGGCUUAACCCGUGAACUGCUUUUGAAACUGUAGGGCUUGAGUGAAGUAGAGGCAGGCGGAAUUCCCGGUGUAGCGGUGAAAUGCGUAGAGAUCGGGAGGAACACCAGUGGCGAAGGCGGCCUGCUGGGCUUUAACUGACGCUGAAGCACGAAAGCGUGGGUAGCAAACAGG